Long non-coding RNA from Aedes aegypti (yellow fever mosquito), 648 nucleotides. RefSeq lists it as uncharacterized. Lineage: Eukaryota; Metazoa; Arthropoda; Insecta; Diptera; Culicidae. The transcript is spliced from 3 exons. The record is from RefSeq and is a predicted model, not a curated record.
CUAAUACAUUCGGUGCUUGGCCCACUACCAACGGUAACUUCAGCAAUCCGGACAGGUGCCCAUCAAUGUGCCCCCGAAGGACAUAGUCAUUCCGAUGCCUCCGCUUUCUCAGACCAUUCCGGAUCUUCCGCCAGGGGCCAGGGGAAUAAACCAAAUAUAUGGAGCUGACAAGACUUUCGAAUUGAUUGUGUCGGAGAAUCAGUUCGGCCAGUUUUGCACCGUCGGUACAGUGAUCGGUUCCGAUCCGCGCUACAAGAUGGUUUAGCCCAGUAGGGCGCCCUGCUCUAUGGAGAAGCUGGGCUUGCCGACGGCGAUUUUUCCGGCGAAAGGGAUGCCAAUUUCAAGAAGCUGGAGAAACACGGCGUGAUUUGUGAUUACCACAGCCCGCGGGACACAUUUGCCUAUGUGCAAGAGAAAUUAUCGACCACCAAGGGAGUUGAACUAGAACACUGUUCAUCAUUAUGGGACCAUGAAGGACCUUCGUCAGCUUAUUUGGUUCGAAUGGAUCUAAUUCCAGCGACGACAGUGAAAAGGGUCAACGAGUUUGGAUUUACUGAUCGAACUGUACUAGAUCUAAAGUUCAUCCAUCAACGACCUCUUGGGCCAUACUUCCAUGCCGUAUCUAUUAAUCAUGUAAAUAGUUAUAAA